GACACCUUCUCAGUAUUUUACAGAUACUUGGGGAUAUUUUUAGGCAAUUUUCCAUUUUAAAGGACGUUUUCUUUGGAAUGAUUUUUGGUUGCCUCCUCUGGGUUUUUUGUGGUUUCUUUUUCUUUUUCUCCUCCUUUUCUAUAUUAUUUGCCCAUCGCGGCUGUGGAUACCUGGUUUUAGUGUGUAUAUAGAUAGGUAGAUAGAUAUAUUAUUAUUGUUAUUAUUUUUUACCCAACGGGGUCAUGGAUACCUGCCUUUUAUUUUAUUUUUUUUUAAUUUGCCCAUCGGGGCCACGGAUACCUGCUUUUAAUUUUUUUUUUCCCCCUUAGCCCAUCGGGGCCUCGGAUACCUGCUGUGUACCCCCUCUCUCCCUAACCUGGCCCAUCGGGGCAAUGGAUACCUGCCUCUUUUUUAAAUGUGUUGUUUUUUUUUUUUUCCUUGCCCAUCGGGGCCUCGGAUACCUGCUUUAAUUUUUUUUUUCUUGCCCAUCGGGGCCUCGGAUACCUGCUUUAAUUUUUUUUCCUUGCCCAUCGGGGCCGCGGAUACCUGCUUAGAUUUUUGUUUUACACCACCCAUCGGGGCUUUAUAUGGUUGGAAAAGUGUUGGGUUUUGUGGUUCGUUGUACUAUCUGGAAUGUCUACAAAAUUUUGCUGCUAAUCGUUUGUGUUGUGUGAGUGGACCUACGGCUUUGGCUGGGAGAUGACUUUGCAGUUAGGCUAGAGGGUUGGUUAGGCUGGGGAGGAAAGAUGGCGGCCACUUCAGAUUUGCCGCCCAGCUUGGCUGAGGGGUAACUGUGCUAAGUAUCACUAGGAAGGUAAGAUGAAUAAUGCGACAGGCAAAGGAAAUGGUAUGCAUUGCAUGAGUUAAAUGUUUUGAAUAAGCUGACUUGGAUCAUGUUAGGAGCUUGGCAUGAAUUGUGGUAUCAUGAGGUGGGAAAACAUAGGAUCAUCCUAUGUCAUAUUACAAGGGUCUAAUGGAAAAUGAGCGGGAGAAGAAUUAGGCGCAGUGUUCAAAAUGGCGAUUUUGACCUUGCAGCAUUGCUUAGCAUGGCUCUCUGCUUUGUUAGAGUGUUCAAAAUGGCGGAUCCAUUUUGCCGCAGUGUUCCAAUGGCGGGAAGCCACAUCAUGGGUGUCUUUGUUCUAGUGUGCAGCAUGGCGGUAGAAAUAUUCUGUUACAUAGUAAAAGAUGGCCGCUUAAGUACUUGCCGCAGUCUAAAACAUGGCGGGCUUUUGUCUCUGCCGUGUGCAUUUCCUGAUAGGUUUUGCUGCAGGGACAAUAUGGCUGACCUUGUCAUGUGGAUAUCAUGGCAGUUUGUCACGUGGAUAUCGUGGCAGGGGUGUUUGACCGUUACAUUCUUGGCGGGCUUUGCAUCAGGAGGGCCUGCCGCAUUGUUAAAGAUGGCGUGCUUUGCCGCGGACAAAGUGAAAGGAGGGAUUGGCAAUGUUAGAUUGCCGCGUGUCCCACCCAAUCAGAAAGGGUGGUAGAAUCGGUCACAGCCAGUUAGUGGAGGAUGGAAUUAGAUGAGUUAGCAUAGCACCUCGCUACCGUCUCUAUUCAGCCAGUCAGGAUUGGCCACAUUUGUACUAAUCUCAGUGGGUGGUACCAAAGUCUUUCCCCGUGGCUAAUACUGGGGUCGGAUUUUGAUUUCUAUUUAUUUAUUGGAUGUCAGUCAUACAUAGUUUGAUUAUGUGGUUUGCUAGUGUUCGAUUUCAGCUUAAGUGACUAGUAUGGAAAUGUGUUUAGGGACUUAUUUGUAGAAUUCAUUUUAAUUACAUUUAAUGGGUUUUCAUAUUUGGGUUCCUUUAAAAUUCCUUAAAGUUUUCAGUUUUUUUUUUUUUUAAUAAACCUCUCAAGCUUUUUUUGUAUUUAGAUAUUAAAGUCAAAUAAUAAACCACUAAGAAUUUUUUUUUUUUUUUACUUUGAAAUUGACUUCAUAGACUACUUCCCUUUGGAUAUUUGAAGAGUCUUAUAGCAUAGAAGUAAUUAAUUAAAAAUUUAACUUUAUGACCGAAUGUGAAAAGGAAUAUUUGAAGGUCCUCUCAGGUUCAGGCCUUGCUUUGUCCCUACUCUUAAUGCUGCACUCAUUGACUAAUGAUCCAACAACCUGCAGGAAACCAGUUGCUGUGAAUUUGCUUCUUCUAUUAGAAUGUAUUAUAUUGGAGAAUUAUUGUUCAUAAUUUCAAUUUUCUGUGGUCCCCUGCCUCCACAGCCCCUAGCUCCUCUGCAACCCUGUUCCCAGCAAUCCCCUUUCUGGCCUCAGCCCCUGCCCCAGCCCCAGCCCCAGCCCCAGCCCCAGCCCCAGCCCCAGCCCCAGCCCAGCCCCAGCCCCAGCCCAGCCCCUGCCCCAAUCCCAGCCCCAGUCCCUGCCCCUGCCCCAGCCCCAGCCCCAGCCCCAGCCCCAGCCCCAGCCCCAGCCCAGCCCCAGCCCAGACUCAGUCCUGUUUCUGCUUAAAGCCAGUGCAAUUUUUGUUAAUUCAGUGAAAAAAAUAAGUUGUCCAUUGCUCAUCCAUUAGACUGGGAUACGCUGUCUACCUCUAGCAUUCCUGAUCUUGAGUGCUGGCUAUCCAAGUCACCAUUUUCAGUUAAUGUACAGAAUCCCAUUUGUCCCUUGGUCCAUGUUAGAAAAAAGAAUCCAUUCACCCUUUGCAUUAAUGUUAAGAAACGUUAAUUAACUGAGAGCUUCAUAUCAGACAAUUAUUGCCCAUAAGUCUAGUUACUCAUAAUCUUCUCAAUCCCCUGUCAAUAAGGGAGAAACCAUUCCUCUGUCAUUGCUGCAGUACUCACAAUCCUAGUUUUCUGGACAGUGCAUAUUUACUGAGCUGACCACCUAAACUCUUUGUAUUGAGUGAAGUUGUAAUUGUCCAUAACCCUGCCUAUUGGAUUAGAUUCCAGUCCAAAACCCUCUUGCAUUCAGCAAAGGGCACAGAAAACCCAAUUUUUUUGGUUAAUGUGCUCAGUCCCAGUUGUCAUAGCUUUGUCCAUUAAACAAAGGCAUCCUACAAAUUUUGCCCUGCUUCUGGGGAGUCCUGUUCUUGGACAAUUAAAGUACCAAAUUGUAAUUUUUGUUUUCCCCAUUAACCAAUGAUCCUCCAUCCUAUUUACAUUGCUCUUAGGCAUUGCUGACUACCUGAGACCAUGUUCCUUGAAUUAUUAAUGUGUAGAAUCCCAAUUGUUUAUUACACAAGUCCUUUCUUUGCACUGUAGCAGAAGUGCUCAUCUUAAAAGUCACUUACUCUGGAAUAUUAAUAGAUUCAGUUGUUGUUGAUCAUGGUCCAGCUUAACAGGUAAGAUCCGCCCAUACUCUUUUCGAUGCCCCUAGGUAGUGCGGACUACCUGCCACCUUGGAUUAAUAUGUAAAAUUCUCAUUUCCCAUGAUCCUACCGAUUAGUCUAGGAUAUCUCUUAUCUCGAUCCCAUUUCUUCUGAGGAGUUCUGAUUACCCAAAGUCCCUUCUCUUAUUAAAAAAUUGAUGUGCAUAAUUGCAUAUAUCCAUGGUCCCAUGCAAUAAAAAAUGAAACCCCACACUUGGUGGAAUAUUGCUGGGUCGUGCAGAUUAUUCAAGAACUCAGCUCUUGGACAGUUAGUUUGCAUAGUUGCAGUUGUCCAGAGUCCUGUCCGUUUUAAUGGGCCAUUGGUAUCCUAUUUGCAAGCUACGUGGGUUGAACUCUCAAGGGCCCUCCUCUUGAAUUUAUAACGUCCAUAAUUGCUUUUGUCCAUGUCCUGUAAACUAGUCACACUGGCUCACUUUGUCUUCCAUCAGGGCACCCUUACUACUUAAGAAGUCUGAACUAGAACAGUUUAUGUGCACAAACCUAAUUGAUUACACCUCAGCCUUUUGUAUCAGGAACUCUGCAUCAUCUUUACUUCUGAAAGGGUGCUAAUUACCUAAGGCCAUUUCCUAAAAUUGUUCACUUGCAAAACUGGAAUCCCUAGGGACUCUUUCAUUUUAACUAGAAGCCCAUCCCCAACUAACUGCCUUUGCAUUACAGCAGAGGAUACUUGGGGCAGUUAAUGGGCUUGAUUGUACGUAGAGACCCUAUGGCUGGUUUAAUAUCCAUUCCCCUACUGAAUGAUUUGCAUUACCACAGGCAGUACGAAGGAAUGAUAAUGGGCUUAUACAGCUACAGUCCCUAAUGUUAACCUAGAAACCCAUCCCCACCUAACUCUGUAUGACGGCAUAGGGUACUUGGGACUGUUAAUGAACUGUAUUGCAGCUACAAUUCCUUUUGUUAGUCUAGAAUCUGUUCCCUUCCUGCUUGAUUUGCAUUACCACAAAGGGUACAAGGGACUGUUAAUGUGCUUAAGUGGAGUUACAGUCCUUUAAGUUAACCUAGGAUCCCAUUAGUACCUAACUCCCUUUUUAUUAAUGCACAGCAUAUGUGAGACUUAUUCGUGGGAAUAAUUGCACUACUGUCCCUUUUGUUAGUCUAGAAUUCCAUCACUCUACUCAGUUUGCAUUACUACUAAUUUGCAUUAUAAAAGAGGGUAUAAGGGACUGUUAAUGUGCUUUACUGCAGCCACAGUCCCUUUUGUUAAUCUAGAAUCAUUUUCGUUCUUACUGGAUUUGUAUUACCACAUAAAGUAACUGGGACUGUUAAUGUGUUUAAAUCUAGCUACAGUCCUUUCUAUUAAUCUAGGAUCCCAUCCCCACCUAACUCCCUUUGUAUUACUGAAGAGCCUACAAGGACUUGUUAAUGGGCUUAAAUGCACUGCUGUCCUUUCUAUUGAGUCUAGAACCCCAUUUCUCCUAGUCAAUUUGCAUUACCCCAGAGUGUACAAGAGACUUGCUGUGCUUAAAUGCAUCCACAGUCUGUUAUGUUUACCUGGGACCGACUCUAUUCCCACCUAACUCUGUUUUAAUGAGAGGGUACUUGGGCUUAACUGGAGCUUCAGUCCCUCCUGUUAACCUAGCGUCAGUUUCUUUCUUACUGGAUUUGUAGUACCACAUAGAGUAACCAAGACUGUUAACGUGCUUAAAUGCAUUUACAGUCUUUUACAUUUACCUGUGUUCAUUGCAUGACUGCAAGGUUACUCGAAAUAGUUAAUGGACUCAAUUAGAGCUACAGUCUCUUCUGUUGAGAUUUCCAUGCCCUCCUACUCUAUUUGCAUUACUAAGGGGGAUGCAAGGGACUGUUAAUGUGCCUAAAUGCAGUGUCCUAGGAUCCCAUCCCCCACCUACCUCCCUUUUCAUGACUGCAGAUUACUUGGGACUGUUCCUGUGUUUAAAAGUAGCUGCUGCUGCUGCUAAGUCACUUCAGUCGUAUCCAACUCUGUGCGACCCUAUAGAUGGCAGCCCACCAGGCUCCCCCAUCCCUGGGAUUCUCCAGGCAAGAACACUGGAGUGGGUUGCCAUUUCCUUCUCCAAUGCAUGAAAGUGAAAAGUGAAAGUAAAGUCGCUCAGUCAUGUCUGACUCUUAGCGACCCCAUGGACUGCAGCCUACCAGGCUCCUCCAUCCAUGGGAUUUUCCAGAAGAGUACUGGAGUGGGGGUGCCAUUGCCUUCUUCGUAAAAGUAGCUAGUUCCUUCUAUUAGUCUAGGUUUCCAUCCACUCCUACAUGGUUCGCUUUAACACUGGAUACAUAGACUGUUAAUGUGCUUAAAAGCAGCUACAAUCUCUUAUAUUAACACAGGAUUCUAUCCCCAGCUAACUGUUUCACGACUGCGGAGGGUAUUUGGGACUGGUAAUGCACUUACCUGCCUAUACAGUCUCAUCUGUUGGCCUACUUUCCCAUGAUCUUCUACUAAUUUGCAUUAUGAAAGAGGGUAUAAGGGACUGUUAAUGUGCUUUACUGCAGCCACAGUCCCUUUUGUUAAUCUAGAAUCAUUUUCGUUCUUACUGGAUUUGUAUUACCACAUAAGGUAACUGGCACUGUUAAUGUGCUUAAAUCCAGCUACAGUCCUUUCUAUUAAUCUAGGAUCCCAUCCCCACCUAACUCCCUUUGUAUUACUGAAGAGCCUACAAGGACUUGUUAAUGGGCUUAAAUGCACUCUUGUCCUUUUGUUAAGUCUAGAAUCCCAUCUCUCCUACUCAAUUUCCCCAGAGUGUACAAGAGAUUGUUACUGUGCUUAAAUCCAUCCUGUCCGUUGUGUUUACCUAUGACCCCAUUCCCAAUAGUGACUCCUUUGCACUACCACAGAAAGUGGAAGAGACUGGUACUGUGCUUAAAAACAACUGCAGUCCCUUAUGUUUGCCUAGGACCCUAUCCCACCCAGCUCCCUUUUAAUGAGUGCAGAAUGUACUUGGGACUAUUGAUGGGCUUAACUGGAGCUACUGUCCCUUCUAUUAACCUAGAGUCAAUUUCUUUCUUACUGGAUUUGUAGUGCCACAUAGAGUAACUGGGAUUGCUAAUGUGCUUAAAUGCCUCUACAGUCCCUUAUGUUAACCUAGGAUCCCAUUCCCACCUGACUCCCUUUUUAUUACUGCAGAGCCUACAGGGACUUAUUAAUAGGUUUACUUACACUGCUGUCCAUUCUGUUAGUCUAGAAUCCCAUCUCUCCUACUCAGUUUGCAUUACCCCAGACUGUACAAGAGCCUGUUACUGUGCAUAAAUGCAUCCACAGUCUGUUAUUUGCCUAUGACCCCAUUCCCAACAGUCAGUGACUCCCUUGCACUACCACAGAAAGUAAAAGGUACUGGUACUGUGCUUAAAAGCAACUACAGUCCCUUAUGUUUACCUAGGACCCUAUCCCACACAACUCCCUUUUAAUGGCUGCAGAAGUUACUUGAGACUAGUAAUGGGCUUAACGGCAGCACAGUUCCUUCUGUUAAUCUAGAAACAGUUUCCUUCUUGCUGGAUUUGUAUUACUACAUAGAGGAACUGGGAUUGCUAAUGGCUUAAAUGGAGCUACAGUCCUUUAUGUUAACCUAAGAUUCUGUCUCCAUCUAACUAGUUUUCAUGACUUCAGAGGGUACUUGGGACUGUUAUUGCACUUAUCUGCUUAUACAGUCUCAUCUGUUGGUCUAGAUUCCCAUGCUGUGCUACUCAAUUUACAUCAUAAAAGAGGGUAUAAAGGACUGUUAUAGUGCUUAAAUGCAGCUACAGUCCCUUUUAGUAAGGUGGGAUCCCAUUCCCAUCUAAUUCCCUUUGCAGUAUCCCAGAGGCUCCCAGGGACUUUCAGUGUACUUAAGUGCAGAUCCAGUCCCUUAUAUUAACCUUGGAUCCCAUUCCUACUUAAUUCCCUUUUUACCACUGCAGAAGGUGUUUGGGACUGUUAAUGCAAUUCUUGCCUAUACAGUCUCCUGUUAGUUUAGAUUUCCAUGCCCUCCUAGUAAAUCUGCAUUUUAAAAGCAUACAAGGGACUGUUUAUGUGCUUAAAUGUAGCUAUAGUCCCUUAAGUUAACCUAGAUCUCAUUCCCACCUGACUCUCUUUUCAUUACUGCAGAGCCUAUACGGGACUUGUCAGUGUACUUAAUUGCACUGCCAUUCCUUCUAUUAUUCUAGGAGCCCAUCCCUCCUAGUGGAUUGACAUUAUCACAGAGUGUUUGAAGAGGUUGUUACUGUGCUUAAAUGCAUCCACAGUCUAUGUUUACCUAUACCCCCAUUCCCACCUGACUCCCUUGCACUACCACAGAAGGUAAAAGGACUGGUACUGGGUUUAAAAGCAGCUACAAUUUUUUGUUUACCCAGGACCCUAUUCCCACCUAACUCCCUUUUUUACUGCAGAGGGUACUUGGAACUGUUAAUGUGCUUAAAUCCAGCUGUAGUCUUUUCUAUUAAUCUAGGAUCCCAUUCCUAUCUAACUCCCUUUUCAUGACUGCAGAGGUUACUUGGGGCUGUUAAUGCAUUUACCUGCCUAUAUAGUCUCAUCUGUUGAUCUAGAUUCCCAUGCCCUGCUACUCAAUUUGCAUUGUGAAAGAGGGUACAAGGGACUGAUAUGGUGCUUAAAUGCAGCUACAGUCCCUUAUGUUAACCUAGGAUUCCAUUCCCACCUGACUUCUUUUUCAUUAAUGCAGAGCCUAUAUGCUGCUGCUGCUGCUGUCACUUCAGUUGUGUCUGACUCUGUGCAACCCCAUAGACGGCAGCCCACCAAGCUCCCCUGUCCCUGGGAUUUUCCAGGCAAGAACACUGGAGUGGGUUGCCAUUUCCUUCUCCAAUGCAUGAAAGUGAAAAGUGAAAUGAAGUCGCUCAGUCGUGUCCGACUCUUCUCGACCCCAUGGACUGCAGCCUACAAGGCUCCUCCGCCCAUGGGAUUUUCCAGGCAAGAGUACUGGAGUGGGGUGCCAUUGCCUUCUCCAGAGCCUAUAUUGGACUUGUCAAAAUGCUUAAUUGCACUGCUGUCGCUUCUUAGUCUAGAAGCCUAUCCCUCCUACUUGAUUUGUAUUAUCCUGGAGUGUAAAGACUGUUAACAUGCUUAAAUGUAUCUACAGUCUCUUAGGUUUACCUAUGAUCCCAUUCCCAUUUAAAUCUUGUUGCAUGACUUCGGAGGUUGCUUGGAAUAGUUAAUGGUCUCAAUUAGAGCUACUGUCCCUUCUGUUAGUUGAGAUUCCCAUGCCCUCCUACUCAAUUUGCACUACCAAGGGAGAUAUAAGGGGACUGUUAAUGUGCCUAAAAGCAAUGACCUAGGAUCCCAUCCCCCACCUAACUCCCUUUUCAUGACCGUAGAUUACUUGGGACUGAUACUGUGCUUAAAAGUCCCUAACAGUUCCUUCUGUUAGUCUAGAUUUCCAUCCACUCCUACAUGAUUUGCAUUAACACAGAGUGUUCAUAGACUGUUAAUGUGCUUAAAAGCAGCUACAGUCUUAUGUUAAUCUAGGAUUCUGUCCCCAGCUAACUACCUUUUCAUGACUGUGCAGAGGAUAUUUGGGACUGGUAAUGCACUUACCUGUCUAUACAGUCUCAUCUGUUGGUCUACUUUCCCAUGCUCUCUGACUAAUUUGCAUUAUAAAAGAAGGUAUAAGGGACUGUUAAUGUGCUUUUCUGCAGCCACAGUCCCUUAUGUUACCUAGGACCCUAUGCCCACCUAACUCCCUUUUAAUGACUGCAGAGGGUACUUGGAACUGUUAAUGAGCUUUACUGCAGCCACAGUCCCUUUUGUUAAUCUAGAAUUGUUUUCGUUCUUACUGGAUUUGUAUUACCACAUAAAGUAACUGGGACUGUUAAUGUGCUUAAAUCCAGCUACAGUCCUCUAUAUUAAUCUAGGAUCCCAUUCCCACCUAACUCCAUUUUCAUUAUUGCAGAGCCUACAGGGACUUGUUAAUGGGCUUAAAUGCACUGCUGUCCUUUUUGUUAAGUCUAGAAUCCCAUCUCUCCUACUCAAUUUGCAUUACCCCAGAGUGCACAAGAGACUGUUACUGUGCUUAAAUCCAUCCAGUCUGUUAUGUUUACCUAUGACCCCAUUCCCCAACAGUAAGUGACUCCCUUGCACUACCACAGAAAGUAGAAGGGACUGGUACUGUGCUUAAAAGCAACUAUAGUCCCUUAUGUUUACCUCGGACCCUAUUCCCACCCAACUCCCUUUUAAUGACUGCAGAAAGUUCUUGGGACUGUUAAUGGGCUUUAUUACAGUUACAGUUCCUUCUGUUAGUCUAGAUUCCCAUCCACUCCUACAUGAUUUGUAUUACUACUGACUGUACAAGAAACUGUUAAUGGGCCACAGUCCCCUCUGUUAUUUUGAAAUUUGUUACUUUUACUUAAUUUGCAUUACUGAAGAUGCUACAAGAAACUGUUAAUGUGCUUAAAUGGAGCUACAGAAUCUUACAUUUAUCUAAAAUCCUGUUCCCACCUCACCCCCUGAUAUGAUUGUAGAGGGUACUUGGGAUAGUUCAUGGGCUCAAUUAGAGCUAUAGUCCCUUCUGUUAGUCCCGAUUCCCAUGCCCUCAUACUUGAUUUGCCUUACCACAGUGAGUACAAUGGACUGUUAAUAUGCUUAAAAGGACCUACAGUCCCUCACGUAACCUAAGAUCUCAUUUCUACCUAACUCCCUUUCCUGCCUACAGAGGGUAUUUGGGACUGUUAAUGAGGUAUAUUGCAGCUGCAUUCCCUUCUGUUACUGUACAUUCUUAUGCCCUCUCACACGAUUUGCAGUACCACAAAUUGUACAGUUCAGUUUAGUUCAGUUGAGACGCUCAGUCGUGUCUGAUUCUUUGCGACCCCAUGAAUCACAGCAUGCCAGGCCUCCCUGUCCAUCACCAACUCCUGGAGUUCACGCAAACUCAUGUCCAUCGAGUUGGUGAUGCCAUCCAGCCAUCUCAUCCUCUGUCAUCCCCUUCUCCUCCCGCCCCUAAUCCCUCCCAGCAUCAGGGUCUUUUCCAAUGAGUCAGCUCUUCACAUGAGGUGGCCAAAGUAUUGGAGUUUCAGCUUCAGCAUCAGUCCUUCCAACGAACACCCAGGACUGAUCUCCUUUAGGAUGGACUGGUUGGAUCUCCUCGCAGUCCAAGGGACUCUCAAGAGUCUUCUCCAACACCACAGUUCAAGAGCAUCAAUUCUAAGGCACUCAGCUUUCUUCACAAAUUGUACAAGGGACUAUUGCUGCUGCUGCUGCUGCUGCUAAGCCGCUCAGUCAUGUCCGACUCCUAGCGACCCCAUGGACUGCAGCCCACCAGGCUCCUCCAUCCAUGAGAUUCUCUAGGCAAGAGUACUGGAGUGGGGUGCCAUUGCCUUCUCCGACAAGGGACUGUUAAACAUGAUUAAAUGCAACAGCAGUUUCUUAUGUUAAUCUAAGAUCCUAUUCCCAUCUAACUCUGUUUUCAUUAAUGUAGAGCCUACAUGGACUUGUUAAUGGGCUUAUUUGCACUGCCCUUCCUUCUGUUAGUCUAGAUUCCCAGGCCAUCCUUGAUUUGCAUUACCAAAGAGGGUAUAAUGGACUGUUAAUGUGCUAAAAUGCUGCUACAGUCCCUUAUAUUAACCUAGGAUCUUAUCCUCAGCUAAGGCUCUUUGCAGGCUUGCAGAGGAUGCUUGGGGCUGUUCAUGGCCUUAAAUACCACUACAUCCCUUAUGGUAACCUAGGAUCCCAUUACCAACUAUUAAUAUCUUCCUUUUAAGUACUGCAGAGCCUACAUAGAACUUGUUAAUGAACUACCAUUGUUCCUUUCCUUUGUUUAGAUUCCCAUCUCCUAAAGAUUUACAUUACCACGGAGGAUACUAUGGACUGUUAAUGUGCCCGUACAGUUCUUUUCCCUCCCCCUCCUUUUUAAAACCCAGGAUCCUAUUCCCACCUAACUCCCUUUGCAUUACCAGUGACUGUACAAGUGCCUGCUAAUGCUUUUAAAUGCAAUUACAGUCCCUUAUGUUAACCUAGGAUCCCACCCCCAACUAAGUCCCUUUGCAUGAUUGCAGAGGAUACUUGGAACUGUUAAUGUGAUUCACUGCAGCUACAUUCCUUUAUCUCAUCUAGGAUCCAUUCUCUUCCUUCUUGAUUUGCAUUAUCAGAGAGGAUAGAAGGGAUGGUUAAUGUACUUAAAUGGAACUAUAGUCCCUUAUGAUAAUCAGGAUCCUAUUUCUACCUCACUUCCUUUGUAUUACUUCAGAGUAUACAUGGGACUUUUUAUGGGCUUAAUUGCACUACUGUCCCUUCUUUUAGUCUAGAUCCCCAUCCUUCCUACUCCAUUUGCAUUACCCCAAAGUGUACAAGGGACUGUUAUUGUACAUAAAGGCAGUUACAGUCCCGUGCUUUAGUCUAAGAUUCCCUCUCCCCCUUUAAUUCCCUCUACAUUACCGAAGGGGAUACAAGGGACUGCUAAUGUGCUUAAGUGCUGCUUGCAGUCCUUUAUGUUACCUAGGAUCCCAUCCCCACCUAACUCACUUGUCAGAGAGGCUACAAGGGACUGUUAAUGUGUUUAAAUGCAGGUGUAGUGCCUUAACAUCGAAAUCCAUUCCUGCAUAACUCCCUUUUUCAGGACUGCAGAUGGUAAUUGAGACUGAUAGUGAGCUUUAUUGCAUUUACAGUCUCUCUUAGUCUAGGAUCUCAUUCUCUCCUACUAGAUUUACAUUACCAUGACUGUACAAGGGACUUUUAAUAUGCUUAAAUGCAGCUGUAGUCCCUUAUGUUAACCUAGGAUCCUAUUCCCACCUAACUUCCUUUUCAUGACUGCAGAGGGUACUUAAGUAAAUGCUCCUAGGAUCUCACCCCUCUCUACUCACUUGUGUUACUAUUUGGGACAGAAAGGUGCUUAAAUGCGACUGUGGUCCAUUUUGUUAACCUAGGAUCCCAUGCGCUCUAACUCUUAACAUUACCUGGGAGUAUACUGGGACUGUAGAACUGCUUAAUUGCAACUGUGGUCCCUUCUCUUAGUCUGGAGUCCAUGCUCUCCACAAUUUUGUUUAUAUUACCACAGAAGGUACUUGGAACCUGUGAAUGUGUCUAAAUGCAGAUGUGGUCCCUUUUGUUAGUUUAGGAUCCCAGGACUUCCUUUACAUUAUCUGUGAAGGCAUUUGGGACUGUCAAGGUGAUAAUUGCUGCUGUGUUCCCUUCUGAUAUCUAGGAUCCUGUUCCCUCCUACUUCCACUUCCUUUGCGUUACAUGGAAGGGUGCUUAACUGUAGCCAUGGUCCCUUCUGUUAGCCUAGUUUGCAUUCCCUCUCUACUUCCUUUGCUUACCACAGAAGGUACUGACUAUUGUGAUGCAUCUUAUCCUCUCACAUUACACCUUAGGGUCCUGAACACUAAGGCCCCUCUUUUUGUGCUUUUUAAUGUGCAGUUGCAUUUGUUCCUCUUCCUCUGCAGUGUAUAAAGACUCCACUUAUUUCCCUUGUAUUCAGUGAUGGAUGUCCUUUACUCAAGACCUUUGUACUAGAGUAAACUGAACCGUGACAAUUCACCAUGAAUAUAUUCUUUCACUUCAGUCCCUUGUAUUCUGUUUUAUAAAAAUAUAUAUUAAUUACCUCCAUUACUUUUUCUCUGGGAGUAUUUACAUGCAAAAUUCCAGUGUUUAAGGCCCUUCUCUUUAAAUUAAUAUCCCUCCCUUUUUGCAUUAUAUCAGGGGAUGUUAGUGACCCAAACUCUUUCUCUUGGGACUCAAUGUGCAUGUGCCCUCAUGACAAACUAAUAUAUUGAAUUUUUAGUAUUAAAACAGGGACUACUGACUAGUUUUUAUUUUGGGUAGUUAAUGUGCAGAAUUACACUAGGAACCCAUCCCAUUCCACCUUCUUUGCAUCAGGGGUCCUAAUCAACUGGCUGCUGCUUCUGUACAGUUUAAAUGUGCAUAAUUUCAAUAGUCCAUGCUCCCUUAUGUUAGACUAGGAUCCCCUAUCCUUGCCCCAUUUACAUUACGGCAGGGGCUUCUGACUAGCUAAGAUUCACUGUCUUGGACUGUUAAUGUAUGUACUCACAUUUGCUCCCGUACCUGUACCUCAGGUAAGGACCCUCCCCAUUCUAUUUACAUUUUAGCAGGAGAUGCCUACUAUUCAAGAUCUUACACACUAUUGCCGUUAAUGUGCACCAUCUUAGUUGUCUUGUACACAUUCUCAGUUGUCCACAGCUGUGCUUUUUAAAUCAGGGCCCUUUCACUUAUUGAAGCACAGGUUAACUUACCACCUUAAAGCCCUUGUUAUGGGACUGUGACUAUGUGUAAUUACAAUUGUCUAUGGUCUUCUGAGUUAACUUGUCUCCCUGACUCUUUUCAUCCUCUUUGCUUUACUGCAUGGGGUACUGCCCACUUAAGGCCCCUUUCUCAAGUAUGUGUAAUGACAAUUACAUUAUAGGGGCUUCAUACUCCCUUUAAGAUUCUUAUAUUUAUACAAGGUAUAUGAUUUUAAUUGACCACACCAUGUCCCUUCAACAUUAAUUUACAUAAUUGCAACUUAGUUCGUCUUAUCCUGUUGCCCUCCCUUUCCUUAGCUUGUGGAUGUGCAUUCUUGUGCACUAGACAAGGACCCUCCCCCUCACUUCCUAUGCCUUCCGUAAGUUUGCCCAUUGCUAAGACCUUUCCAUUUGGACAGUUAAUGUGCAGAGUUGCACUUUCCCAUAACCCUAUUACUUCUAGGACUAUUGUAUCUCCUUUGUAAUAGUGCAGGGGAUACUGUUUCCCCGCCAAGAUCCCUUACUGUUAAUAUACGUAAUAGAAAUUCUUGUCUUUAUCAGUGUACUUUGGUAAUACUCCCUCAGCCAGCUAUCAUGACCUCAGCUCUUGGACAAUUAAUAUGCACCAAUAAUAUAUCAAACGUAUGAUCUUUAGGUAGGAUCCCUGUACCCUCACUAUGGAUCAUGACUGCUGACUUAAGGCUUCUUUUUUUGACUCUGGGUGUGAAUAUUUGCAGUUACCUAUACACCCUUCUAUUAGAGUAGGACAUCAUUCCCUCAUACCCCCUUUGCAUUACUGCAUGGGCUGCUGAUGACACAAAACUUUCACUGGGACUGCUGAUGAGCACAAUGGCAGUUGGCAAUGGGUUUUUCCUCCCUGGUCUUGUUAGGCAAGCACUCCCAGCUCCAAAUUCUCAUGGUAUAUUAAACUAUAAACACUGCACUGUGCUGUGAACUUGUCCAUCAAAGGGCGACCCACAUUCCCACUCCUUUUGCGUUGGCUCCAGUGUAUCAAAUUCCAAGUAAUCAUGGCCUUGCCCUUAUCUUCCCUCUACAAACCCCUUGCCUGCCCUUGGACCCUUCUUAUGGAUUUUUAAUGUUCACAAUUCCAGGUGUCCAUCUCUCCAGAUAGGAUUAUGCUCCCUCACCCCUCCCACCCCUGCCCUGCCCCUUUUGCAUUGUUGCCGGGAAAUGUUGACUGAGCAAAACUCUUUUCUCUUGAAUUUACAAUGUUAACAGUCCCAGAUGUCAUUGUUCUGCCCACUUUGAAUUUCUAUAAUUCCCUGUUGCACUUUCCUUGGUCCCACCCAUCACGGACUCUUCCACUUCCUUCUUUGCAUUACUUCUGAAUAGUGCUGACCACCCACAGCCCCUUCUUUGUUGUUAACACAGUACUGAUUGUCCCAUUUUUAAGCCCAUCAGCCCAAGAUCUCCCUACCAUUUUGAUGUUAUAUUUGUGCAGUAUGGACUACCAAAAGCAGGCCAGAACUAGGUGACUGGACCUUACUCCUUUUCCUGCAUUUGUUAAUGAUCCCAGUUCUGAUUAUUGUCAUAUUCUGGGAACAGAACCGUUCCUGAUCCCCUCUGUUAGUGCUUUACUAGGCAAAAUGCUCAAGGCAAGUCAGACCCAAAGGAACUGGAUUGCUACCCUUUAUUUGGGGUUUUCAUUAUAAAUAAUCAUUUGAAAAUUGACUUCCCAAGAAGGAAGGUUAGCACUAUCUGUGCAUUCUUCCUUUCAAAGCAGAUUGCCUGGCUAUGUCUCUCCUUUCCUCUUGUAUAUUGCCAUUGUAUAGUGCCAAUUGCCAGGAUACAACCAAAAAGUUUAUUUAUUUUUUAUUUUUUUUAUUUUUUAAGAAAGACAUCUGGAUUGCAGGGUGGAAUUGAUAACCUGGUCAUUGAAAUUUUGAAAUUGGUAAACCCAUUUAUAUCAUGUACCUGAUGACCAGUGUCUCUCAUUUUACUAAGGGUGGUGAGUCUGUGGAUAGACCACUGUGACUUUGAUAUUUUAGUAUAUUACCAAAGGGGUUCUAGAGUGGAACUCUUAAGACCAGUAUCUUUGGGCUCUACCACCAUUUUCAAACCACUCCUUGUUUGAGCUUUACCAGUAUUCACUUCUAGGAAAAACUAUCUAAACUUCCUAAUCGUUAAAUUUCUUCAUCUGGAGCUCCAACUAGUCCGUACUUAUUUCAAGAAGAUUGCUGUAAAAGGAUAAAAUGAGAGAACAUGCUGAGGUGCUUUUGAAAACCAUAGAUCACUUUGUUUGAUUAAUCUAUUACAUUUUACGUACCCUGUUUAAUUCUGCUAUUUUAAAGUUACCUAAAGCACCACACUCAAGUGAGGACUUAGAAACGAUGGAACCAGUUUCCCCAUUUUAUAUGAAAAGAAAAAUAAGCCAAGGUCUAAUCAGUCUUUUGGAUAUAAAUUUCAACAGUGAAAAUGAAUACAAAUGAAUAAUAUCUCAGUCUCUAGUGUACAAGGUGUUUGGCAGAGAAGUAUUUAAUAUGGAACUGCUGAAGCAAGUAACUAAUUAUCACCACAGCAGUUCUUUGUAAUCACUGAAAAAGGAUACUGUUGUCUGAGAAGGAUGUCAAAAGAUCGGCCCAGCUCAGGGUGCAGUUUGCACUACUAGCUCCUUGGACAGCUGUAAGAAGAGUCUCUGGCUCUUUAGAAUACUGUAAGUACUACUUUGUAGCUAUUAAGUAAUCUUUUCCCUGUUCCAUUUUCUUUCUCUUAGAUGCUACCCACACAAAAAUUGGAGGGUCCUUCCAUGUUUCUACCUCAUCUGUAAUUUAUAUAUCACCAUAUGAGUUAAUAAAAUUACAAAAUUAAUAUUGUGUAUCUGGCCCUAUGCUAGGCUAUAUUGAAGUGAGGGAUAGAAAUGCUGUAGUCCUAUAUAAUCUCAUCCCCAAUAUGGUUAUAUUGUUAAAAAAACUAAUAUAAGCACACUUGAAAUAACUGUAGAACAUAAUAAUCAAGUACUGUCUUGUGUGAAUUAUAUGUUAUAGAGUUUUAAAAAUGAGCACACAAGGGUGUGAAGUUGAUAGGGUGAACUUAAGGAGGUGGGCUAACUUUCGUCUUUGGUCCAGGACAUGAUUACUAUUACAGCCACCUGGGUAGUAUAAUGUUUAUUUUAAUGUCAUUUGGUUUUUACCUUUUUUGAAUGCACGGAAAGUGAUUAGAAAUAACCCCUGGCCAUUGUGUUUGGCUAUAUCCAGGCUGGCAAAUUGUUGAUUGUUUUAAGCUUGAGUUUUUCAGGCUCUAGGGAUUGGGAGUAUAAAUCUGAUAUGUUAGAACUUUGUACGCUUUUUAUUCUCUCCUGCCCAAGAACAGAUGAGAGUAGCAGUGUCUUUUUAGUCUGAGAUAUUUGUGGAUCCUGUUUGGCAAGAGGGCAAUAGAGAAAUAUGUUUUAUAAGACCAUGACCUUCCCCUCUUCCCUUUCACUUUUUUCAACAAAUACUUUUGUGAGCUAAAAAGAUUAGCCUCUCUGGUAUAAAAAGAACAAAGAUCCAACUGAAAAAAUAUUAACAUCAAAUUUAAAAACUUUUUUUUGUUCAUGUUCAUGUAUCCCAGCAAGAGCAAGAAGAAUUAUAUUAAUGAGCUGGGCUUCUCUCACUGCCCAUUUUAAUUAAUAUCCGUAUUUCCUCACAGCUUGUUUCCCCCAGCCAGUGCCUAAAGAUAUUUGUCUGACUGACUGGAGGUAAUAUAUGAAUAGUCCUGAGCCUUCUUGUUUCUCAAACUGAAGUAAUUUGUCAGGAUGCAGCACCUUUUAAAGAAACAAGUUUUUUGAGAUCCUAAAGAGUAAAUGUUUUGAGUAACACUGACUUAAGUUAUUUGAAAUGUAAACAUGGUUUCCAAUUUCAAAAUAGCUUUGUCAAAAAUAUAAUAUUUUAUAUAACAUUUUAAAUAAUUUAUAUAGAACUUGGAGAUCGUGAAAAUAUAUCCACAAACCCCCAGGGUUCUUAUCACCCCAAUUUGAGAAACACUGGUCUGUGCUUAUGAGAUCAUUUAUUGUAGUUAAUCGAGUUAUCAUUCGAUGUUAAUAUACAGCUAUAACUAUUUAUUGGAAUUUGUCUUAAAGGGAUGAAUUCUGAGCUGGUUCCCCCCCACUCAAGAGGAAGGAUGGAUCAAGUUUAGGUGGAGUGAAGCCUGCACUGGACAGCAUCCAAAGGUGAAUCUUGGAGUUGUAUUUCAGUUCAUUGCUUGAAAUAAAAUCUCUAGCACUUGUAGAAAGGGAUGCUCUGGGAAUGUCGGCAUCUUCAAACUCAAGGUAAUCCUUCAGUAGACCAGACACUGGAAUAAAUAGUAAAAUCAAAGACAGAAUUCCUGUCCAGGAAUCUGCUAUCUCAUGGUGGAUACAGAAGUGAACAAAUUAUUAUGGUGUUGGGCAAUUUGAUGAGUAUCAUAAAAUUUGGGGGAAAUUCUGUGGUUCAUAGAGGAAGAAGAGUGGGGGAAAACACUGUUACUAAGCAAAGUGAUCAGUUCAGUUCAGUCGCUCAGUCGUGUCCGACUUUUUGCGACCCCAUGAACCGCAGCACGCCAGGCCUCCCUGUCCAUCACCAACUCCCGGAGCCUACCCAAACUCAUGUCCAUUGAGUUGGUGAUGCCAUCCAACCAUCUCAUCCUCUGUCAACCCCUUCUUCUCAUGCCCUCAAUCUUUCCCAGCAUCAGGGUCUUUUCCAAUGAGUCAGCUCUUCACAUCAGAUGGCCAAAGUAUUGGAGUUUCAGCUUCAACAUCAGUCCUUCCAAUGAACUCCCCGGACUGAUCUCCUUUAGGAUGGACUGGUUGAAUCUCCUUGCAGUCCAAGGGACUCUCAAGAGUCUUCUCCAACACCACAGUUCAAAAGCAUCAAUUCUUCAGUGCUCAGCUUUCUUUAUAGUCCAACUCUCACAUCCAUACCUGACUACUGGAAAAACCAUAGCCUUGACUAGACGGACCUUUGUCAGCAAAGUAAUGUCUCUGCUUUUUAAUAUGCUGUCUAGGUUGGUCGUAACUUUCCUUCCAAGGAGUAAGUGUCUAGGAUUUGUUUGAUGUUGACAUAAAGAUCCUUAUAAUGUGGUAAUUCUUGAUCAGGGAUCUGGAAGCCAUACCUGGUUCUUUCCACACUAUACCAUAACAUAAAAAAUACUUUCAAGAUUGCAAACCUGACUUAGACCUUCUUCAGUGACCUCCUAUCCUAGAGUAAGGGCAGGUAACCAAUUAUUAAAAAUGAUCAAGGCAAUUGUACUUCCAGGCAGCAGUAGCAAUUCCUCUGCUGCUUUGCAUCUUGAAGUAUUUUUAGCACCUUUAGGCCACAAACUUAGACAGCCCUUAAAGUGGCUGUUGGUUUGACUCAUACUUUAAUUUAGCUCUUUUUUCUAUACUUGCUUGGUUCUUCUGUGAUACUGCCAGUGCUGACCAUUACAGGACCUUAGGGAGACAACAAGCUAGAGAUGAGAGACAGGAGAUACCUAUAUCUAAUGUUUCAGGUUAAUGCUUCUUAGUGGUUUUUCUUUCUUUUUUUUUUUUAUUGUUGAGGUUUUCUCAGCAUUUAAAAAAAAUUGUUUUUUUUAAUUGAAGGAUAAUUGCUGUAAAGAAUUCUGUUGUUUUCUGUCAAAUCUCACCAUGAAUAUUAUAUUGAGCCUUGCCCUUUCUUUCUUCUCAAGGACAUUCCAAGCAUAUCAGACCUGAGGACUGCAAGCAACUUUAAGAAGCUUCAUAUUCAGCAGGUCUUUCCUUUUGAGAAUCUGGAUAAGCUCCAACCAAUCUCAUAGGAUGGCUUGCAGUUUCCCUGGAGAAAAAGGUAAUGUAAGGAGCUUAUUGUGUGAAUUCUGUCUUUGGCUUUAAAGGCUUUAACUUCCUAUAGCUCUCCUUUUAAAAACAGAACAUGAGCCAAUUUUCAUCAAUUUCUAUACAUUUUUUCUUUUUGAGUAUAAGAGUAGAAUAAUAGAGAUCCAAGGGCCUGUGUAAGCUACAUUAUUGGAUCCUUGUUUUUCCUUUUGCAUAGAUUUGCUUAGUUGUUAUAAUAACUGAGGUUUUAUGUGCCUGUAGCCAUUCUUGAUUUUUUGAAUAUCCUGGUACUUUGGUGGUACCUCAUUUAUAUAAGCUAUUCAAGAACUGUACCAUGUAGAUUGAGGAGAAAACAAUUCUGUUUACCUUGGCAAUGCUCCAACAUCUUACUGCUUAGUAUACAAAUUAUUAAUAAAAGAAGGGAGUGCUACAAAACUAGGUGAGAGAGACGUACUUUUGUUGAGAUGGAUCACUCAAUUCUUACAAUAGUACUUUAUAAAAGAAGCCUGAGGCAACGUCUUACAGAAUUCAUAUGGUCAGACCACAUUGGAAUUCUUCUCAAGUGGCUUGAUGGCUCUCCUGAUAGAGAAAGCUAGCUCCUCCUUUUGUUAUUUUCAAUCCCUUAAUUUCUUGACCUGUAUUUUUUGAGGACACAAGGACAUUAAAAACCCACGCUCUCAAGCAGGGUCCCCACCCUCCAGGAUCUAAUGCCUGGUGAUCUGAGGUAGAGCUGAUGUAAUAAUAAUGGAAAUAAAGUGCACAACAAAUGUAAUGCACUUGAAUCAUCCCAAAAUCAUUUCCCCAACCCUGGUCCAUGGGAAAAUUGUCUUCCAUGAAACUGGUCCUGGUGCCAAAAAAGUUAGGGACCACUGCUCUAGAGGAUUAUUCAUCAGUAGAGACUGGUGACUAAAACAAAAUAUGGGAAUUUGGGUAAUUAUUCAGCUCUAAGUUGCUCUAGAAAAUGAGGGGAAGUACAGGGAAUGCAGCUUGAAUGAAUAGAGGAAUUUGCAUGCUGCUAGGCUGGUAGCUUGGAGAAUGUGAUGGCACCCCACUCCAGUAUUCUUGCCUGGGAAAUCCCAUGGAUGGAGGAGCCUGGUGGGCUGCAGUCCAUGGGGUCGCUAGGACUUGGACACGACUGAGCGACUUCACUUUCACUUUUCACUUUCAUGCAUUAGAGAAAGAAAUGGCACCCACUCCAGUGUUCUUGCCUGGAGAAUCCCAGGGACGGGGGAGCCUGGUGGGCUGCCAUCUAUGGGGUCUCACAGAGUUGGACACUACUGAAGCGACUUAGCAGCAGCAGCAAGCUGGUAGCUAUUAAUAGAAUAUAAAGCUCUACACAGUUCUAAAUCUCCAGUCCUUAAUCUGAAGAAAAGGGUAGACAUGGUUCAAUUUAACCCCUAGUUACUCAUUGGGACAGACUUUCCCAGUGUACUGAAUUUCAAUAAUUUAUUUUUCUUUUAUCUCUUUUCCAGAUCUACCUCAAAAGAAUAGGCCUGUUGCUUUACAGUGUUAGUGACCCAUUCCCUUUGACGAUUCCUAGGUGGAGAUGGGGCAUGAGGAUCCUCCAGGGGAAAGAUUCACUACCACUGAGCAACAACUCUAGGCCAGGAGGUUAUACCAAGAUUCUUUCCUGGGCCCAGUUAAGAAGGUGAAGCCUCAAGACAACCACCACACAUCCAGAGGUGGGUAAACUGUCCCUAAAAGCAUAAUAAUUAGUCUUUAAUUUCUUGUUUUUCAGUAUACAUUGCACUUAGCUUUCCAUUUAGAUUGUUUUAGUCAUUAUCAUCUAUAUCUGCUUUGGUAAAAAGAAAAGAAAAAAAAAAAAAACUGCCUCCUAAUUACCCUGGGAAGUAACUGAGUGUGACAUGGGUUAAAAUGAUGAUGUGAAGAAAAUAGCAGGCUGCAUUAGUUAGGGUGUUUAGGAUGGGACUGAAGUAUGUGGUAGAGGCUUACAGCUAAGUUUUAGGAGAACAUGGAUGAUGACUGACACAUCUGUGACACUGAUCAUGGGCCAAUCAUCAUUCUGGACCCUCUGAUUCCUAAAGUCUCCCUUGAGGCCUUAUUGGAGAAUUUUGCCAAUCAUUUACAUACUUCAAGAUGCCUUGGGAAAGCUGUGGGACAAAACAAAAAACAAGCUGUUUGAGAAGAUAAAAUAGAGAUUUAUCUUUUUAUGCUCUGCCUGCUAAUUGACAGAAGCUUCACAACUAUGAAUGGGAGGCACAAAGUUGUCUAUCAUCAGACUGCAUCUAAAGAACUAGCACACUGUGUACUUUAGGUCAGUGAUGAGAGAGGAUGAUUAGGGGGAUACAGGUUGAGAGGUAGAGGUAACUGUUCAGUGCAGAAAGUCCUGAUUGUAUAGGCUUUGUAAAGAUUACUAUCCAAUUAAAGGAAUAAGGCUGUGAUGGAUGAUGUUUCCAGUGCCUCACCAAGUGUUAUUCAGUUCACUUCAGUCGCUCAGUCAUGUCUGACUCUUUGCGACCCCAUAAACUGCAGCACGCCAGGCCUCCCUGUCCAUCACCAACUCCCAGAGUUUACCGAAACUCAUGUCCAUUGAGUCGGUGAUGCCAUUUAAGCAUAUCAUCCUCUGUCAUCCCCUUCUCCUCCUGCCUUCAAUCUUUCCCAACAUCAGGGUCUUUUCAAAUGAGUCAGCUCUUUGCAUCAGGUGGCCUAAGUAUUGGAGUUUCAGCUUCAACAUCAGUCUUUCCAAUGAACACCCAGGACUGAUUUCCUUUAGGAUGGACUGGUUGGAUCUCCUUGCAGUCCAAGGGACUCUCAAGAGUCUUAUCCAACACCACAGUUCAAAAGGAUCAAUUCUUUGGUGCUCAGCUUUCUCUGUAGUCUAACUCUCACAUCCAUACCUGACUACUGGAAAAACCAUAGCCUUGACUAGAGGCACCUUUAUUGACAAAGUAAUGUCUCUACUUUUUAAUAUGCUGUCUAAGUAGGAAAUAUAACUUUCCUUCCAAGGAGUAAGUGUCUUUUAACUUCAUGGCUGCAGUCACCAGCUGCAGUGAUUUUGGAGCCCAGAAAAAUAAAGUCAGCCACUGUUUCCAUUGUUUCCCCAUCUAUCUGCCAUGAAGUGAUGGAACCAUGAUCUUAGUUUUCUGAAUGUUGAGCUUUAAGCCAACUUUUUCACUCUCCUCUUUCACUUUCAUCAAGAGGCUCUUUAGUUCUUCUUCACUUUCUGCCAUAAGGGUGGUGAGCAUCUGCAUAUCUGAGGUUAUUGAUAUUUCUCCUGGCAAUCUUGAUUCCAACUUGUGCUUCAUCUAACCCAGUGUCUCUCUGCAUAUAAGUUAAAUAAACAGGGUGACAAUAUACAGCCUUGACGUACUCCUUUUCCUAUUUGGAACCAGUCUGCUGUUUCAUGUCCAGUUCUAGCUGUUGCUUCCUGACCUGCAUACAGGUUUCUUAAGAGGCAGAUCAGGUGGUCUGGUAUUCCCAUCUCUUUCAGAAUUUUCCACAGUUUAUUGUGAUCCACACAGUCGAAGGCUUUGGCAUAGUCAAUAAAACAGAAAUAGAUGUUUUUCUGGAACUCUCUUGCUUUUUCGAUGAUCCAGCGGAUGUUGGCAAUUUGAUCUCUGGUUCCUCUGCCUUUUCUAAAACCAGCUUGAACAUCUGGAAGUUCACAGUUCACAUAUUGCCGAAGCCUGGCUUGGAGAAUUUUGAGCAUUACUUUACUAGCGUGUGAGAUGAGUGCAAUUGUGCGGUAGUUUGAGUAUUCUUUGGCAUUGCCUUUCUUUGGGCUUGGAAUGAAAACUGACCUUUUCCAGUCCUGUGGCCACUGCUGAGUUUUCCAAAUUUGCUGGCAUAUUGAGUGCAGCACUUCAGCAGCAUCAUCUUUUAGGAUUUGAAAUAGCUCAGCUGGAAUUCCAUCACCUCCACUAGCUUCGUUUGUAGUGAUACUUCCUAAGGCCCACUUGACUUCACAUUCCAGGAUGUCUGGCUCUAGGUGAGUGAUCACACUAUCAUGAUUAUCUGGGUCAUGAAGCUCUUUUUUGUACAGUUCUUCUGUGUAUUCUUGCCACCUCUUCUCAAUAUCUUCUGCUUCUGUUAGCUCCAUACCAUUUCUGUCCUUUGUUGAGCCCAUCUUUGCAUGAAAUGUUCCCUUGGUAUCUCUAAUUUUCUUGAAGAGAUCUCUAGUCUUUCCUAUUCUAUUGCUUUCCUCUAUUUCUUUGCAUUGAUUGCUGAGGAAGGCUUUCUUAUCUCUCCUUGCUAUUCUUUGGAACUCUGCAUUCGAAUGGGUAUAUCUUUCCUUUUCUCCUUUGCUUUUCACUUUGCUUUUUUUCACAGCUAUUUGUAAGGCCUCCUCAGCCAUUUUGCUUUUUUGCAUUUCUUUUUCUUGGGGAUGGUCUUGAUCCCUGUCUCCUGUACAGUGUCAUGAAUCUCCAUCCAUAGUUCAUCAGGCACUCUUUCUAUCAGAACUAGUCCCUUAAAUCUAUUUCUAACUUCCACUGUAUAAUCAUAAGGGAUUUGAUUUAGGUCAUACCUGAAUGGUCUAGUGGUUUUCCCCAAGUAUUAUUAGGCAAGACAUUUUCCUGUUUAUGCCAUAGUUUCCUAUUCUGUUGAAUGAGGCAGUUAUAUUAGUUUUAUCUCUAAGGACCUAAAAGUGUCAACUUUAUACUUUUCUAAGUUCUGUAGAGACAGUUUCUAUAGCUCAUUAAUUUGGGUCUUCCCAUAACUCUAGCACAGUACUCAGUUAAUACUUCUUCAUGGCAUUUACAUGGUUUCUUUCUUGUUUUCUUUUGUAGCUCCUGGUUGUUCCCUUCAUAUUUGCCAAAUCAUUAUCUUUCCCUGAAGUAGUGCAAAGAGCAAGAAAUGUGAACACACCAAGGAAGAUCAACAUGCCUGCAAUGCUAGCAUUUUAGAAUAGCAGAAUGAAGUAAGUUGUUGUUGGUGUAAUCCUAUGAGCAUUAGUUUAGAGCUAAUGUCUGUUUGAUGGAGGUUUGUGUGGGAUGAUGUAUAGUGAUCCACGGUGGAAGAGGUGCUGAAUGUGAGAUGGGAGGAUGAUCAGUAACCUAUAUUAACAGUUGGUUUCACUAAAGCAACUCAAAAGAUAAUAUAGUCUGUGUACCAGUUGUGUCAUAGGGUAAUUUAGUUUCACCUUGUCUGUUUAUCUUUUCUACAUAGAUCAUUUGCCACACUUAGAGGCCUAAACACAUAGAAACUUAAGCCAAAAACGUUUUUGUUUUUUGCUGAAAGGCUGGCCUCUCACUCUUGUGAGCGAAUCUGCAGUUCGGAUAUAAUAUUAAAGAAAACCUAGUCCCUGAAGCAGCCAUUAUAAUCAUCAAAAGUAUGAUGAUUUUAUAAAGGAAUGGGGAAAAGUGAAGAUAUAAAAUGAGAGAACUAACUAGGCGCUCUCUAAAGGCCCUUUACUAUGUAUAAUGUUCACUUAUGUGUGGCAACUUAUUUGGCUCUCCGGGAACUCUUGGGAAAGUUGUAGCAGAAUGUUGAGGCACAUGAGAUAAUAUGAGAUAGGAGGUGAGAUGAGAUGUGAGAUUAAUGUAAACUGCCACUCAUCACGUGAACAACCUUUUGGCAAUUUAGAGUCUGAUUAGACUUGUCUAUUUGUGAAGCUAAAAUGAAAUCAUGUAUGUAAAGUGCUUAGUACACUGCCUAGUACAUGAUAGGUAAAAGGUAACCUAAGAAGUUUCAUAAGUUCAACUGACACAAUACAAGUGACCACUGAUACCAUCUAGUAGCACAGAGUUGGUGUGGUUUGAUUCUAUGUAAAAAAUUCCCAAAGUAAAAGUUUGUAAGUAGAAGAGUAUCUGUGUUGGUGGUAAUUGUUGUUAUUAUAAUUAUUAUUGUUAGUAGUAAUAUAAAUAAUAUUGACACUAAUAACAGAUUAUUGCAAUUAUUAAUGCACUUUUUUGUUUUCUUCUCUUUGUGAUGCUUCUUGUGCCUGUCAUGCUCAUCACUGUAGUUUGUCUCUUCUGUUUCUUACCCUCUUCCAUGUCUGCCUUUGCUUAUCUUUUAAACUCAUAAGUGUGUAUUUGUUUGUUUGUCUGUUUCUUCUUUGAAUGUCUUUGGUCUUUCUUGUCUAAAGUAUGUCUUACCCAUUUCCAUGAUUCUCUUGCUAGUUUCUUCUCUGUAUAUCUUUGUCUCAUUUACUUUUUUGUACCCAGGAGUGGUUUGUGUCUUGUCUUAAAUGUCUCUCUCUAGUUUUCUUCAUUUUGUUACUGAUUCUCCUUGCUCUGCUAGAUCUAGCUCUUCUUUCACCGUUCUCUGUGAGCCUCUUGAGUUAUGUGUGCCUUUUGCUCAUUUCUUGCUAUGCCUGCCUCUCUUCUUUUUCUCUUUGUGAACUCUGUCACCCGUUCCCCUUGUUGGCUUGACAUUUCACCUUUUCUGAUACUGGCUACCCUUCUGCUGUUUCUACUCUUUAUCUUGCAUAUUUCUCUUUUCUACAUAUUCUUUGUGCCUUUCUUGGGCUAUUUUCUCUUUUUUUCCUCAUGCUUUGUGUGCCCCAGUGUCUCUUUGUUCUUUGUGAUUUUCAAUUUCAGCAUUCAUCUCUGUUCUCUUGGUUCUUCUCUCCUUUUGCCUUUCUAUUCACUUUUGAGUAUUUCUUGAGUCUAUGUCUCCCCCUCUUUGAUUUCAUGCAAUUCUCUCUCCUGGCAUAUUUUUUCAUGCGUGUUUGUGUGUGUGCUCUUUUGUGUGUUUGUAAAGGCGCCUCCUAACCCCUUCCAGUAGGUGCAGAGUGUCAGCUAUCAAAAUAAGCAUUGCAGAGCUGUUCGUUAUGCCAGGCCGCCCUGUGAGAUGAUCAAAACCAACAGAAGGUCCAAGGGUCUAGACUGGAGUUGGAUAGAAGACUCAAGUCUCCGUGAGACAGAAGGCCAAAGACCUAGGAUGGGAUUAAAAAACCUUGUCUUGAAGACCUGUGACCCAAAAGAUGGAAGUGCCCUAGCACACACAAAGACCCAGGACUCAAACCUAUCUAUAUAAGACAGAAGGCCCAAGAGAGACAGAUAUUUCAAGACUAAAUUAGAUGGGAAACUGGAGGUUCGUGACAGAGAUACCAGGAAAGAAAGAAGCCCCAGGACCAAAGGAAAUUCCAAGAUGAGACUCUUAAACCCCAGCUGUUUCUAUUGCUCUUUUCCCUACUCUUGGACAUUUUCAGUUCUCCCUUCCUUCUCAUGUCUCCAUUUAUAUCUACUUCUUUUGAGAUGUCCUUUUUGAUGUUACCUUAAAAAAAAAAAAAAACGUAUCUUUAGAUCAGUAAUAUUAUGCUUUGGCCUGUUUUUAUUACAGUUUUGAACCAUUUAUUAAGUUUUUGAAGUUUUAAACUUCCAUUUCUCUUCACCUCCUCUCCACUUGAGAGGGACACAUAGCUGACAUUAUAUUUCAGUCCCCUCUUUCCUCAGAAGCUCUAGGCUGAUGAGAGAAGGAAAGUAUCAGGUUCAGUUAUUGAGGGGAAAGAAAGUGCCAAGCUAUCUAGAGAAAAUGUGAAGAGAUGCUCCACAGGCCAAUGAGAAGAAUUAGACAAGAAAUACACAGAUGUGCCAGUUUGCUGAGAAGUGCCAGCCAGCAACAUCUUACUUAUUUGAGCUUGGGUGAGCAGGAUACCUGAGGUUUGGGAUUCUUACUGUUGGUUAUGAAGGAGGAUUGGGCCUAACACAUAGUGAGGCCCCAAGGAAGGAGCAUGAACUCCCUGCUCAUAGUAGUGGCCUAAUAAUGUGGUAAGCUGCAUAAAUUUUAUCCCUCGGUUUAAUACCUAGGCUUAAAGGUGAGAAAAUCUGGGAAUAUUUAGCAGGUUUAAUCCUUUCAUUAAUUUUUUUCCUCUUACCAUAAGGAAAGAUAAUUUUAGUGAUAAUAUAUAUGAAAGCACUGUAAAACACAGAAAAAAAAGCAAGACUUUCUCAUUAAUAAUGUAUUGGCACUCAUGCACAGCUAACAUUUGAAAAUGCGUUGUCAGUUGUGAAGCAUUAUGUAAAUCAAGGGUUAUCACACCCUUUUUGUAAAGGAUCAGAUGGCAAUUAUUUUAUACUUUGCAAGCCAUAUGGUCUCUCUCUGCUUUUUUUUAUUUUUAAAGUGAAUAUGGUCUGUGGGCCACAGUUUAUCACCCCUGGUGUAAUUGCCAGGGACUGUGUGCUGAAUAAUAUUAAUUUCUUUCUUUGUGCCUGUCCCUGUAUGCAUUAAGGAUGCAAUGAUUACUUAUGGUCAUAUCCAGGUGAUAUGAAGAAAAAUAUAUGAAUGUGACUUAUAAACUAUUAUGCACUUUAAAAGCUUGUCACAAUUUUCAGAGUUGAUGAAUGAACAUUGAUUACAUGGUAUAUACAUUUCUAGGCACUGUAUAUACAAAGAACAAAAGCGUGAAUAAAGGGCUUUCUCAAAAGUAUGUAAUACUGUACAGAUAUUAGGAAUUAAGUCUAUGAUAAAUGAGUAAUUCAUGUAUUUGUGGCCAUUGUGUUUCUGUGGCUCUGGUGAUUCUGAGUACAGAUGUAGUAUUCCAAGUCACAGAAAAGAAAACAUUGUUCAGUCGCUAAGUCGUGUCUGACGCUUUGUGACCCCAUGAACUGCAGCAUGCCAGGCUUCCAAACCCUUAAACUAUAAAGCAUACUGCAAACACAAGGGAUUUAAGCUAUUGUGAUUACUUAUAAUGUGCCAGAUAACAUCCUGGGCACUACAGAUGUCAAAGGAAAAGAAUAUUCUUAUUAUAGAAUAAUUAAAAAUUUUAGAUAGGCCGUACAUUUUAAAGUGCUUUGUACUAAAGCACUGUAUAAAUACCAAUGGGCUAUAUGUUUAUGAAUGAAUGAAUAAGUAUUAAUUUCCUUAUAUAUGCCAGCUAUUGUUUCAGGUACUGUGAAAUCUAAGACAAUGCUCCCAAGUGAUAAGAGGGAUGUUUAUGUCCUAUACUACUUAUAUAUAAAGAAUUAGAUAUUAUUUAUUUUAAUCAAUAAAGACUUUACUGGUGAUGUUGAACUAAAUUAUUACCAGUAUAUUUCCCAAGGUAAUAGGAAAAUGUAAUGAAUGAAAUUGAGCUUUCUAACUAUAAAAUGCUACAUAAAUAUAAAACAUUAGGUGUUUUCUCUGUGAACAAAACUUAGGUUGAGACAGACAUUUGUUUGUGUGUGUUAGUCGUUCAAUCAUGUCUGACUCUUGCGACCCCAUGGACUGUAACCCACCAGACUCCUCUCUCUGUGGAUUUCUCCACACAAGAAAACUGAAGUGGGUUGUCAUUCCCUUCUCCAGGGGAUAUUCUUGACCCAGAAACUGAACUCAGGUCUCCUGCACUGCAGGCAGAUUCUUUACCAUCUGAGCCACAGGUUCUCAUUGUGUGUUUGACCCACUAUGAGAAAGGCAGUAUAAAAUUCUCAGUAUACAAACUGAGAGUUUAAAUACUUGGUAAAUGAAUGGGUCAUUAAUAUUAGUUGCCUACUAUGUGAACUCACUGUUAUAGGCACUAAAGAGACACACAAAUUUAUCAUUUUAUUGUGCCUACAGUUGAGAAUAGGCAAUAACAUACGUUAGUAUUUUGUGAACUCUAAGAGUACCAUAUAAGUGUAACUAUUGAUUUCCUCAGUUGGUAUGCCUAAUACUAGGCUUGCAAAAUUGUAUCAUAGCUAUUAUACCAUGAAAAAAGUCAGAAAAAAUUUGAGCAAGGAUUGUUAAUUACUGAACACUUCAAAUAUGAUACAUAAAGGACUAAAUGUCUGAUGAAUGCAAGCCUGGAUGAUAAUUAUGUGCCAGUCUCCUUGAUAAGCAUAAGAGAUAAGAAGAUAAUCCAUCUUUACUGUGUUCUGGGCAGCAGAAGGUAAUAUAUAAAAUCAAUUUGUAGGUCUUAAACUGGCAUACAUAUAUAAGCCAUAUCUGCUGAAUGAACAUUGAUUACUUACUCUCUCUUAUUCCAAGAGAUAGCAACUAGGGAUGCAAAAAUUCAUUGCCAUUAUUGUUGAACCUGUAACAGAGAUCUGUAUAAAUUUUACAAAGCUUACUGUUCUAUACAGAUCUAAAGAAUUAACUGUUGGCUUAAUGAAUGGUUACUGAUUACUUUCUAUCUAUAAAGCUCAAAACUGUGUAUGCUCUAGGAUAUAAAAAUGACUCUCCUUAUCAGAUGCUGUAAAUAACAUGAGUGGGAAUCCAGAAUAAAAAUUACUUAACCAUUGCUCAGCUUAUUUGAUGAUAAAAACAUGGGCAGAAUGGAAUUGUGCAAGGCAGUAUGCUGAAUGCUGAGCUAGGUGGAAAGAUAAAAUCCAGACCAGAAGGCCACUUGCUCCCUGGCUUGACUAAAGGAAUGGAAUUUUUUUGUUUCUUUGUUUAAAGAGCAAGAUGUUGUCAUUCUCCAUUGGUCUUUUAAAUGCUGAAUGCUGAAGAUGGAGGUGAAUUCAAUCCACUCUGGCCUGGCAUAGAGAAAUUGAAAGAGUAAAAAAUGGUUCAAGUUGGCUUUUAGAUUAAUUUGAUGAACAGCAUCUUUUAUGUAAAAUAUAUCAUUCUAGGUCCUGAGCAUAAGAGAUAUGAAAUGGGCCUAGUCUAAAGGGCUUUAGAUAGAUCAAAGAUUAUAACUGAAGAUCCAAAAACAUCUUUGAGUUUUAAGUAAAUAUUUGAGUUCCCGUUCCCUAGAUCCUAUUCCUGUUCCUUGAAUUCUUGUUCCUAUUUUCUUGGUGAAGUCUGGUCCAGAAAACCUAUUGACUUGCCUUGGAAAUUUAAAAAAUAGAAAAACAAUAUGGUUCUUUCAAUGUAAAGUGAAGAUAUAUUUCUUGGCUCUAGAAAGUAUCAAUGUCAUGUGCUCAUUGACCUAGAUUGAAGCCAGAAGAUUAAUAAAAGGCCUCAGAGUUUGUCCUUUAAUUCAUUAAUAUUCUGUUUUUAUUAUAGUUAAAUGGGUAAGAUGACAAUCAAGAUUAUUAUGGCAUGGAAUCAGGAAGACAACAAAAAAGAUUCUUCCUAGAUUUUCCAUAUUUUGUAAAUUAUUCACUUGAAUGAAGUACUGUUCUUAAGUGCUGAGGAGAAUGAAGAGAUUUACAAGACCUAGACCAAAAUAUACUUUAAUUUCACUAGUACAUGGAGGACACACAAGAACAAAUUUAAUAGGAGAUUGCAAUUCUUUCAUUAGUUGGAAAAACUAAAGUAGCUGUGAUAUUAAGAUACUGAGAUGGAAUGAUUAAACAGAUCACUUUCUCUUUGGCAUGUUUUGUAGAGAAGGAAUAAAAAAGCUUUUCAGUUAUUCAUACAAGCAUUGAAGAAGGUGAUGCUAAAUGAAAUAGAUCUGGUAAAAAAGAAAUUGUCUUGGAGAUGCAGUUAAAAAAAAAAAAAAAACAAGAAAUGGAGUGAAACUUCAUUGAAUGAGUGUCUAUUUCAAGGCAUUGUGCUAAUUCCUAGACAGAAAACAAAAAAGAUCUUGACUGAAAGACACUUACUUGACUUGGAAACUGGUAUAUAAGAGAAGAGGUUAUUGUUAAUUUUUUAAAUUUAUUCAUUCAUUCUACAAGUAUGUUUGAGUGCCUAUUGUAUAUAAGCUCCUUAGCUGGGUUCUAGCUAGGUUCUCUAGCUAACCCCCAGAAAGAGACAUGAGAAAAUGAAUGCCUUCCCAGAGAACUUAAAAUUUGCCUUUUGGCCUAUUUUCUGAUCAGGGCUAAACGGCUUACUUCCUCAAUAAUAUUGUGUGGUUUAAUUCCUACUCCAUCUUAAACCACUCUGGCCACUACAAUAAGCAGGGGUUUUUACUGAACUGCUCCUUAAAUUGCAGGAUCCUUCCUUAUAAUAAAACACUUCAGUUUUCCUAACCCAUCCCUCAUGAAAAAUGGUUGUGAUCAUAGUGAGCCGAAAGAGGGAUGAGAAGCAACUGAUUCCCAAACUUCAGUCUCAUUGGUACCAACCUUGAAGAACCACUCAUACUCAAAUCACAAUUGGUUUUGAAACACACUUACAGUUUUGUCUAUGACAAAUAUACACUGCCUAAGUCUUUUUUAAAAACAAUCCUCUGAUAUUACUUAGCAAGUUUGGAGAUGGAGACAUGAUUUGUGUUUUGCAACAACAGCUUCUCAACUUACAAUUUAGAAAUCUUUUCCUUUUCACCAUCAAAACCUGCUUAAGAUAAGACUUGAAAAUAGCCUAACAAUUUUACUAUGCUUAAGCCUUAAGAAUAAUAGAACUUGAAAGUAUUUGGCAAAUGUUGGAGGGAAAAAAAAUCUACAUAUAGGCCCAAAUGGGCUUUGGCCUUUUCUCUUUUUAAAUCACUCACAGAGGGUGGGAUAGGAGGAAGAGUGAAAGAAAAGGUCAAGCCUGAUUCUAAAAAGAGUUGGUCUUAAAAGUAUUGCUACCUCCAGAUCUAACUUGGGGAUUGCUGUUCUUAGUGUAAUUCAAUUUUAAAAACUGGUCACUGUUAAGAUGAGGACAAAGUCCUUUGUCCAUCAGUUAAGCCUGGGGUUAUAUAAUUAUGGAAUUUAUUAAAUCUAUGUGACCUCUCCAUCAUAAGGUAGUCUUAAAGCUAAAGUCGGUCCACUACGUAGAAAGAGGACUUUAUCGUUCACUAUAAUUCAUACACACUUUCAAAGCAUCUACACCUUAAAGUUUACAUGGCAAGACAACAAUACCAUCUGUAAAAAUAGAAGGAAAUAGAAGAAUGGCAGGAGAUAGUUGCUGGAGGGAGCGAAUUUGAAUGGGAUUUGGGGUAAUGUUUGUAGUUUUUGCUUUGUAUAUUUUUAUUUAAGUGUAAGGUGUAUCUGAUAUUAAUAAUGUUUGGUGUUUAAUAUGUACUAUUAGCUGGACUCAGUAACUCCCCUUUCUCCAGGUAGGGAUGAGAGAUGCAUUAUUGGAAAGGAGAAAGUAACAGUCUUCAUUUCACAGUUUCUGGCAUCCCAAGGCCACACUACUGAUAAACAAGAAUAAUAGAACAUUCUGUCAUCUGAUUUUUGUGGCAUAAAUGAAGUUGUGAACAAUUUUUUUUUUCUUAAGAAAAAGAAACAGCUUUACAUCUACCCUUUUACCUUAAAAGGAUCUAUGCCAAAAUGCUCUGAUGAAUGGAAGACACACAUGGACUUGUGAACUGAUGUGAAACACAUAAUAUCUGAGCCUUGGUUGUUGUGAAGACUGAAAA
This 32250-nucleotide long non-coding RNA is filed under the name Bos taurus (domestic cattle). RNAcentral describes it as "long non-coding RNA NONBTAT026662". The stretch from base 20700 to 20825 matches the Rfam family "X-chromosome inactivation gene exon 4". Lineage: Eukaryota; Metazoa; Chordata; Mammalia; Artiodactyla; Bovidae. The record is from RNAcentral.